Molecule: long non-coding RNA, 6236 nt
Filed under: Gossypium barbadense (sea-island cotton)
Lineage: Eukaryota; Viridiplantae; Streptophyta; Magnoliopsida; Malvales; Malvaceae
Description: long non-coding RNA (GBAR_LNC003705)
Source: RNAcentral
UUUUAUUUAUUAAAUUAAAAGACUUAAAAAUUAAAUAUAACUUAACUUUAAUUUUUUAAAUUAUAUUAAUUAAUUUAUUGUUUUAACUAUUAAAAUAAAACAUUAAAAAUAUGUUUUAAUUAAAAAUUAUAUUUAAAUAAUUUUGAAUAGAAAAAUUCAGGUAAAAAUAAAACUAGACAAAAUUUAAUAGAGAGUUAAAAAAAAUAAUAGGCAAAAGUUGCUGCUGAAGGCUCCGCACAAGUUCCUAAAGUCUCUGAAUGUUCUUCUCUUGUGAUAAGAUGAUCUGCAACAAGUGAAAGGUUAUAAGUUAAUCACAGGUAGAAUAGCCGACAAAAGAUAUGUAUCAUGCCAAAAACAUAACUUCAUUAUAAUUUGCCUUUUCCCAGUGGCAUAUUGUAAAUGAAAUAGCAAGAAUUUUGUCAAGACUAUCCAACAAAUGCAACAAUAGAUAAAAGCAAGAAUUUUAUCAACAGAAAUGGAAUGUGCUAUGCCACAUUUAUGGCUUUUCCUCAAUGAAAAGCUUCCCACGACAAUUAUGUCGAGUUUUGAAGGUGAAACCUAUGUAAAGUGCUAGGUUAAUCACUAAACAUAACAGGUUCUCUUGAGGAAAAGAUGUAAACCUCAUCAGUAAAACAAGAAGCAUCAGCAACUAAUUUGGUGACAAGAAUAGAGAGCAUCAUAAAAAAGAUUUUGUCUUCUUAUAUUAAAUAAAUAAACGAACCAUGGAUUUUAAGUUUUAACAUUUUAAUUAAAAUCAUGUUUGAUUUUUAUAUAUAAUUUUUUAUAGUUGUAGCAAUACUAAAAAAAAAACAAAUAAGACCAAAAUUUAACUAUUAAAAUAAUAUCAUUUACAAUCUAUAAGAAUUAUAUAUGAAAACUGCAAAAUAGGGUAUAUCUCUAUUUGAUUUAAAAUCAUUUCAUGAACUAGUUUCUAUGUUCAUAGGAGAAGAUCACUUAAUCUUGAUUGUGCUUAAAUAUGGUACAAGGCAUUUCAACAAUUUGAUUUAGAUCGUAGACAACAGGGGGGCUUAAACUUGCAGCUGUUCUAGUACAAAGGCAGCUUAGCUUAUGCUAUGUAGAUUAUUACAUAGGCUAUACAGGUAGGGUUGAGUGGCAGGAGCAAGGACUUGAGAGGUAUACAUGCUUGUACAGAUAGUAGAGAAGUGACACAUUUGGUCCAUCUAUUUUUUAGCAUUAAUGAUGAAAGUAAUAGGAGGGCCUUUGACGGGGAAGAGCUACCUUCAUCAAAGCUCUAAUAGUUAUUAAGAGUAACUAAUAUUUGAAUUUUGUUUCAACUGUUUGAACAAAAAAAUAAACUGGCUUCCUUCAUGAAUCGAGCCCCCUUGCUGCGUGUUUGUCAUCAUUUUGUACUGAUUAAAGAAAAUAUUUUAGCUACAAAUCAUAAGUUACAUAGAGUAACUUAACACUGCCAUCAUAAUAAUCUAGCACAAGAUAGUGUUAAAGGUCUUCAAGAAUUCAAGUCCAUAUAGUUUACAGAUCCCACAACUGUUCAGAGGGCCAUUUUUCAGGCAAGAGGGGGCAACAAGGAGCCUAUUUCAGACUAUUAGAUUUAUCAAUCAUGAUUUUUCAUCACUUCAUACCAAAUAAUGAUUCAAUUGAAUUUAGUAUAAAGUAAUAAAGAAACUGCUUGAAUAUAUUAUGAAGCUGCCUAUAUGUUCAAAAGGUUCAAUGUACCAAAUUAAUGAAGCAACAAAACGAGAAAUUAUUAAAUUUACUCUGACAUACCUUACAGACUCACUUGGAAGAUCCAGUACAAUGACCCCUGUGCUUAUCUAUAAUAUAUCUCUAUGUCUACGAAGAAUUAACAACUUGCUUUUCUAUGAAAGGAGGAACUAAAAAUCUUAAACACAUACUACUUUGACAUUUAUUUAAUACUAUACAUAUACAAAUAACACAAAGCAGAAACCAGGACAUCCUUCGUGAAAAAAGAGAGGAUAAACUGUCUCUUAUUAUUGGUUUUUUUUAAUUUCAGGAAAAUAUGGAUUAGAGUUGGUCCAAUACUGUUAUAAAUGUUGAAUAUUGGCAAUAUCCCACAUUAGGAAAAGAUAGAAAGGGAGGGGGUUUGGUUUGUUAUAUAUAGAACCCCUCCCCCUUUGGUUGUAUCAUCCCCAAAAUCUUCUCCUUUGUAAUAUUUCUAGAAGAAAUAUUAAUUUGGUAGUGUCCGAGGACGUAAGCUAAAUUGGUCGAACCUCGUUAAAUCUCUGGUAUUUUAUUUCUUAUUUGUUUGCUUAUAUUUAAUAGCUUUAUGUUGGUUAUAUUUAUUUACUUAUUAUUGCUAUAAAUAUCUAAGUGAGUUCUGUCUAGUUGUUGGGUUUUAAGCGGGACCAUUUGUGACCCCUCCAAUUUAACUGGGAAUUUUCUUAGUAUAAUUGUUGGCAUAAUAAUUAUCUAAAUAUUUCUGAUAAUAUUGUUAUUAAUAUUAUCGUCGCUUCCGCAACAAUUGGUAUCCGAGCCAAGGUUUUGUAGUAUGCUCUGUGUUUGCAGCUUAGUCUGAUCUUACACAUCAGAAACAUUUCCUAAAGCUUGUGGGUAUUCUGCAUUUGGAGGCUAUUAAGUAGAAGUUAUGGCAAAAUUGACAGAAGAAAAACCAUCCAUAUCAACAACUUCCACUUCGUACAUUUUGCCGAGGAUUGGAACUGCAAAUACGAGAUUUGUAGUGGAAAUUUUUGAUGGAACAGGUCAUUUCGGCAUGUGGCAAAGUGAGCUUCUAGAUGCCCUCUUUCAACAGGGUCUAGAUAUUGCCAUUGAGGAAGAAAAACCAGAAGGGGUUGAUGAUAAAGAAUGGAAGACCAUCAACCGAUUGGCAUGUGGUACAAUUCGAUCAUGUCUUUCCAGAGAGCAGAAGUAUACAUUCAGUAAAGAGACUUCUGCAAGUAAAUUGUGGAAAGCAUUGGAGGAGAAAUUCUUGAAGAAGAACAGUCAAAAUAAGUUGCAUAUGAAGAAAAGACUGUUUCGUUUCAAUUAUGUUCCUGGUACCACGAUGAACGAGCACAUUACCAAUUUUAAUCAGCUGGUGGCUGAUUUGUUGAAUUUGGAUGUGACUUUUGAAGACGAAGACUUGGCGUUAAUGUUGUUGGGAUCGCUUCCUGAGGAGUUUGAGUACCUUGAAACUACUCUACUUCAUGAAAAAUCGGAAGUAACUUUCAAUGAAGUAACUGCUGCAUUGUAUAGCUAUGAACUACGCCGAAAGGAUAAGUUGAAAGGUUCAGGUGAAGCAGCAGUGGAAGCAUUGGUAACAAGAGGUCGUCAGCAAAGUCAGUCUAAUGGGAAGAGAAGAAAGUCCAAAGGUCGAGCUGUUGCCAAAGAUGAAUGUUCCUUUUGCAAAGAAAAAGGACAUUGGAAGAAAGAUUGUCCAAAAUUGAAGAAAAAAGGGAAGACUCCGCAAGAUGCAAAUGUUGCAGAAUGCAAUAGUGAAGCAGAGUCAGACUUUUCUCUUAGUAUGACAUCUUCAACAUUAUAUGCAGAUGAGUGGAUCAUGGAUUCUGGUUGUUCCUAUCAUAUGUGUCCCAUUCGGGAAUGGUUCUUUGAAUUUCAAAAACUAGAUGAAGGGGUUGUUUACAUGGGUAAUGAUAACACAUGUAAAAUAGCCGGGAUAGGUUCAAUUAAACUGAGGAGUCAUGAUGGAUCUACUAGAAUUUUGCGGGAUGUACGAUAUGUCCCAAAGUUGAAGAAGAAUCUCAUCUCUUUGGGGUCGUUAGAAUCUAAAGGCCUAGUUGUGACAAUACGAGAUGGAGUUCUUAAAGCAACUUCAGGAGCAUUGGUGAUGUUGAAAGGCAUAAGAAAAAACAAUCUGUAUUACUACCAAGGUAGUACAGUGGUUGGGACAACAGCAGCAGCAAUUUCGAGUACCAAGAAGGACGCUGAGGCAACACAGCUGUGGCAUAUGCGUUUGGGCCAUGCUGGUGAAAAAUCCUUGCAAACUCUAGCCAAGCAAGGAUUAUUGAAAGGUACAAAGACUUGCAAACUUGAAUUUUGCGAGCAUUGUGUUCUGGGAAAACAACGAAGGGUGAAAUUUGGCACUGGGAUUCACAAUACUAAAGGUAUUCUGGAUUAUGUGCAUUCUGAUGUAUGGGGACCGUCCAAGACUCCAUCACUUGGAGGAAGACGUUAUUUUGUCACCUUUAUUGAUGAUUUUUCCAGACGAGUUUGGGUGUUUCCUAUGAAGAACAAAGAUGAGGUGCUUGAAGUUUUCCUUAAGUGGAAAACUAAAGUUGAAAAUCAGACAGGAAGGAAGAUUAAGGUUCUCCGAUCAGACAAUGGUGGAGAAUAUAAAAGCGAUCCAUUCCUGAAGAUAUGCCAAGAUUGUGGCAUAGUAAGGCACUUCACCGUAGGUGGAACACCGCAACAGAAUGGGGAAGCAGAGCGUAUGAAUCGAACGCUUGUGGAGAAAGUUCGAUGUAUGUUAUCUAAUGCUGGAUUAGAUAGAAAGUUUUGGGCUGAGGCUGUGACGUACGCUCAACAUCUCAUCAAUCAUUUGCCAUCAUCUGCUAUAAAUGGCAAGACUCCUUUGGAGAAAUGGUAUGGAAAACCUGCUACUGAUUAUGACACCUUGCGCAUUUUUGGUUCUAUUGCAUAUUAUCAUGUGAAAGAAUCAAAGUUAGAUCCAAGAGCAAAGAAGGCUCUAUUCAUGGGCUUCAAUGCUGGUGUUAAGGGAUAUCGUUUGUGGUGUCUAGAGGCAAAGAAGACGAUAAUCAGUAGGGAUGUUACCUUUCAUGAAUCUGCCAUGUUCAAUAAGGUAAAUCCAGAAGGAGUGAGUAGUACUUCGCAGCAGGUGGAGUGUACUCCGCAGCAGGUGGAGUUUGAGCAGAGUGUGGUAAUUCCAGCAGAAGGUACCACUAGUGAUUCUUCAUUGGCAGAUGCAGAGUCAGAUGAGGAAGAGGUUUCUACCCAAAAACCUCAACAGCAAUCAGAGCCAAUUGCAGUCAGAAGGCAGAGACGAGAAAUUCAGAAACCUGCUCGUUUCACUGACAUGGUAGCUUAUGCACUUCCAGUUGUUGAUAAUAUUCCAUCCACUUACACCAAAGCCAUUCAGAGUUUAGAGAAUAAUAGAUGGUUAGGUGCAAUGGAAGAGGAAAUGCAAUCUCUAGAGAAAAACAAGACGUAGAAGCUGGCACAACUACCAAAAGGGAAGAAGGCGAUUGGUUGCAAAUUUGAAGACACUAUUGAGGUUAGUGUUAUGAGAAGAUGUUCGAAGAUGUGGAAUAUCGCCAAGGUGGAGAUUUGUUGAAUAUUGGCAAUAUCCCACAUUAGGAAAAGAUAGAAAGGGAGGGGGUUUGGUUUGUUAUAUAUAGAACCCCUCCCCCUUUGGUUGUAUCAUCCCCAAAAUCUUCUCCUUUGUAAUAUUUCUAGAAGAAAUAUUAAUUUGGUAGUGUCCGAGGACGUAAGCUAAAUUGGCCGAACCUCGUUAAAUCUCUGGUAUUUUAUUUCUUAUUUGUUUGCUUAUAUUUAAUAGCUUUAUGUUGGUUAUAUUUAUUUAGUUAUUAUUGCUAUAAAUAUCUAAGUGAGUUCUGUCUAGUUGUUGGGUUUUAAGCGGGACCAUUUGUGACCCCUCCAAUUUAACUGGGAAUUUUCUUAGUAUAAUUGUUGGCAUAAUAAUUAUCUAAAUAUUUCUGAUAAUAUUGUUAUUAAUAUUAUCGUCGCUUCCGCAACAAUAAAUAACUAUUCUGGUCUUGUUCAGACAUAGCACUAAACCAUAAGUCAACUUAAAUCACGCAAGUAUUAAUUUUUGUGCAUUUUCUUAACCCAAUUGACAGAAAAAUGACUAAUUGAGAAACAUACCAGGUUCACAAAGAAAUCUUCAACAACAGUUGUAUUACUCUUUAAUAGAAAUGCUUCGUUCCUGUUUUAAAAACAAAAUCCACAUAAAUCUGCAUGUGCGGUUGAAGAUGAUAAGGAUCCUGAUGAAGUUUUUAUCCGCUCUUCACAACUGGAGCUUGAGGAUGAAUUUGUGGAAAUGGGAAUCGAUGGAAAUUGAUGGAAUUCAACCGGAGCUUGAGGAGCGAGAAUCGAUGGAAUUCGCUGGUAGGUAAGAAUUUGGUGGCUUUAGUUUGAAAUUGGAUCUAGGUUUAGGCUUGGAUAGGGUUGGUGAGGAUGGUUCAGAGGUGAAAAAGAUGGAGAAGGUUGGAAGGAAAUAGGAAUCAGAAGUGGAAAAAAAAAAGAAGAAAAAUGGUCAGAUGUGAGAAAGAAGAGAAGGGCAAAGUCGAUAAAAUUUCACG